AUUGAACGCUGGCGGCAUGCCUUACACAUGCAAGUCGAACGGCAGCACGGGGGCAACCCUGGUGGCGAGUGGCGGACGGGUGAGUAAUGCAUCGGAACGUGCCCUGAAGUGGGGGGAUAACGCAGCGAAAGCUACGCUAAUACCGCAUAUUCUGUGAGCAGGAAAGCAGGGGAUCGCAAGACCUCGCGCGAUGGGAGCGGCCGAUAUCGGAUUAGCUUGUUGGUGAGGUAAAGGCUCACCAAGGCGACGAUCCGUAGCUGGUCUGAGAGGACGACCAGCCACACUGGAACUGAGACACGGCCCAGACUCCUACGGGAGGCAGCAGUGGGGAAUUUUGGACAAUGGGCGAAAGCCUGAUCCAGCCAUGCCGCGUGAGUGAAGAAGGCCUCGG
This 391-nucleotide ribosomal RNA is filed under the name uncultured bacterium. RNAcentral describes it as "bacterial SSU rRNA". It matches the Rfam family "Bacterial small subunit ribosomal RNA", at positions 29 to 420 of the family's 1533-position model. The record is from RNAcentral.